AACGAACGCUGGCGGCAUGCCUAACACAUGCAAGUCGAACGAGACCUUCGGGUCUAGUGGCGCACGGGUGCGUAACGCGUGGGAACCUGCCCUUAGGUUCGGAAUAACUCCCCGAAAGGGGUGCUAAUACCGGAUAAUGUCUUCGGACCAAAGAUUUAUCGCCUUUGGAUGGGCUCGCGUUGGAUUAGCUAGUUGGUAGGGUAAAAGCCUACCAAGGCGACGAUCCAUAGCUGGUCUGAGAGGAUGAUCAGCCACACUGGGACUGAGACACGGCCCAGACCCCUACGGGGGGGAGGAGUGGGGAAUAUUGGAAAAUGGGGGAAAGCCUGAUCCCACAAUGCCGGGUGGGGGAUGAAGGCCUGAGGGUUGGAAAGCUUUUUUACCCGGGAUGAUAAUGACAGUACCGGGAGAAAAAGCUCCGGCUAACCCCG
RNAcentral lists this ribosomal RNA (431 nucleotides) under uncultured bacterium. RNAcentral describes it as "partial 16S ribosomal RNA". It matches the Rfam family "Bacterial small subunit ribosomal RNA", at positions 29 to 505 of the family's 1533-position model. The record is from RNAcentral.